CCUACGGGUGGCUGCAGUGAGGAAUAUUGGUCAAUGGGCGAGAGCCUGAACCAGCCAAGUCGCGUGAAGGAUGACGGCCCUACGGGUUGUAAACUUCUUUUGUAAGGGAGCAAAUCGGUCCACGCGUGGGCUUAGCGAGAGUACCUGAAGAAAAAGCAUCGGCAAACUCCGUGCCAGAAGCCGCGGUAAUACGGAGGAUGCGAGCGUUAUCCGGAUUUUUUGGGUUUAACGGGUGCGGAGGCGGAAUAUCAAGUCAUGGGAAAAAAUUCGGGGCACAACCCCGACGGGCCGUUGAAACUGAAGUUCUUGAGUGAGCGAGAAGUAGGCGGAAUGCGUGGUGUAGCGUGGAAAGGCAUAGAUAUCACGCAGAACUCCGAUGGCGAGGGCAGCAUAUCGGCGCCCAACUGACGCGGAAGCACGAAAGCGUGGGUAUCGAACAGGAUUAGAUACCCCGGUAUC
This 459-nucleotide ribosomal RNA is filed under the name uncultured bacterium. Its description in RNAcentral is "partial 16S ribosomal RNA". It matches the Rfam family "Bacterial small subunit ribosomal RNA", at positions 338 to 795 of the family's 1533-position model. The record is from RNAcentral.